AACGCAUAUGGCGCCCCGCGGAGCGAUCCGGGGGGCAUGCCUGUCUGAGAAUCGUCCACGCUCCACCUUGGGCCUUCACCAGUGAUGCCCGGAAUGCGCGCCGCCGGCCGUGUCACGAGAGUCCGCUCGGCCGGCGACCCCAACCGUGAUCUCAGAUCAGGCAGGACUACCCGCCGAACUUAA
This 183-nucleotide unclassified non-coding RNA is filed under the name uncultured fungus. RNAcentral's name for it is "partial internal transcribed spacer 2". Lineage: Eukaryota; Fungi. The record is from RNAcentral.